GACGAACGCUGGCGGCGUGCUUAACACAUGCAAGUCGAACGGAAAGGCCCUGCUUUUGUGGGGUGCUCGAGUGGCGAACGGGUGAGUAACACGUGAGUAACCUGCCCUUGACUUUGGGAUAACUUCAGGAAACUGGGGCUAAUACCGGAUAGGAGCUCCUGCUGCAUGGUGGGGGUUGGAAAGUUUCGGCGGUUGGGGAUGGACUCGCGGCUUAUCAGCUUGUUGGUGGGGUAGUGGCUUACCAAGGCUUUGACGGGUAGCCGGCCUGAGAGGGUGACCGGCCACAUUGGGACUGAGAUACGGCCCAGACUCCUACGGGAGGCAGCAGUGGGGAAUAUUGCACAAUGGGCGGAAGCAGGAUGCAGCAACGCCGCGUGCGGGAUGACGGCCUUCGGGUUGUAAACCGCUUUCGCCUGUGACGAAGCGUGAGUGACGGUAAUGGGUAAAGAAGCACCGGCUAACUACGU
Molecule: ribosomal RNA, 467 nt
Filed under: uncultured bacterium
Lineage: Bacteria
Description: partial 16S ribosomal RNA
Rfam family: Bacterial small subunit ribosomal RNA
Source: RNAcentral